This 253-nucleotide ribosomal RNA is filed under the name uncultured bacterium. Its description in RNAcentral is "partial 16S ribosomal RNA". It matches the Rfam family "Bacterial small subunit ribosomal RNA", at positions 524 to 776 of the family's 1533-position model. The record is from RNAcentral.
UACAGAGGUCUCAAGCGUUGUUCGGAUUCAUUGGGCGUAAAGGGUGCGUAGGCGGUGAGGCAAGUCAGGUGUGAAAUCCCGGAGCUCAACUCCGGAACUGCACUUGAUACUGCCUUGCUAGAGUACUGGAGAGGAGACUGGAAUUUACGGUGUAGCAGUGAAAUGCGUAGAGAUCGUAAGGAAUACCAGUGGCGAAGGCGAGUCUCUGGACAGUUACUGACGCUGAGGCACGAAGGCCAGGGGAGCAAACAGG